CAGCUACAAUCUGUCCAGGGGUCCACACAUUUGCUCAUUGGUGCUAAACCAUGGGUUGGCUUAGCGUUAUGAACUGGGCCACUGUCUGGAUUGUGGACAAUUAAAUAAAAGUUUUAGAAAACACAGUUCAGUUUCUGGAUAAAAGAAUACAAAGGAAUAGUAGUGAUGUUAUGAUGAAAUCAGUUCAGUGUUACUGUAAUAGAAAGUCGUUCCCUUUUCCUGUGCCAACUACGGUUUCAGUCUUUACUUUCAAAACUAUUAUAGCAGUUGAAUAUGGGAACGUACACCACAUCCAUGCAAAGAGAGUGGAAAUACUAACAUAUUAAUGUAGUGCAGAUUUUAGAUAGUAGGGGCUGAGUAUUUGUUGACAUGAAUUUACUGCCCUGUAGCGAAAACAGAAGCUGCAAUGGACAUUUGUACUAGAAGAUAGAACAGAAACCGUCACAGCCCCUUUGUACUUCUUUGUGAGUAAUGGCUAUUUUAUUAGGAGCACUGUAAUCACAUGUUCUUAAAGCAAUGCUCUGUUUGUCAGCUGCCAGUCAGAUGAUGAUUCAACCAGACCCAUGGUUGGAAGCCAGAUCCAACAGAGAAUGCUGGAGCCAUAAGACAGCACGAGUCCUGCAAUUCCUUUCCCUAAUUAUCACAGACGAGCUGGUUUUUAUUGUUGUUUUAUAAUCUGCAAAUUAUAGUUGACUGCCAAAAUUACUGCUAUAAAAGACAAGGUAAGUCAAGAUGCAGAGGCUUAUGAUGGUAAUAUAAUAGUAUCUGCCACUUUAACCAUUUGUGGUCUGCAGUAUGUGGCUUAGUUUAAUAUUGACAUAUGCUAUACAGCUCUAGGCCUAGUUAAAAAGUGGCUUAAGACACUUUGGAUGCAGUUCUGCACACAGGCUGCAUUAAAUAUUAUCAACUUCAAUGGGAUUUAAACAGACUUCUUAUCUUGCUUGCUCUUAAUAUUUUCUUGAGAUUCCACCCUCCUCCAGUUUAUCCCUCAACUAAGAAUCACUUUCUGAAUUAAUUGUCUAGAGUUUGUGGCAGCAGCUACCAGUUAGCUUCUAGACUUAAUUAGAUGUGCUGGAUUGACUCAAAGCUAUUCAUGGCUGGGGAUAUGUGCAUCUUAGUAUAUUAGGUUGACCGUUUGGAUUACCUUUGGGAAUGGGGAAACUGGGUGCUACACAUGGAGCAGCCCAAAUUAACAAAACCUCACAGAUGAAGAAACACACAAGCAUCUACCUCCUGCAAUUAUUCAUGAGGAUUCCACAUCCUGUGGAGUCUUAUUGGCUACACUGUGGAGUGCUAUGGGUGCGGCUCUUUGUUAAGUGUGGACAAACUCUUGCAAUAAAUAAAUAAAUUGGCAUACAGUGAACCCACAGCUUACAAGGGGGUUAUGUCCCGGGGACAUGGUCUUACUGUAUUUGUGAACCUUCAAACAAUGUGAGGACUUGUACCUUCAAAGCUUGGUUUCAGUGUCUUAACAUGACAUAGCAUGACAAAUAAAUAGUGGGUUGUAUACAACACUGCAGCUGCACUCACACUUUCAUUGUUUAUGCAAUGAAAUUCACCCCUCCUCUCCUUUGCAGUGCCCCAUGAACACUCCAGAGGGUGGAGGGAUCCUCUGGGGCAGAUUUUUUUGGGUGUGAGGUGAGAGAAGAUGGGAAAGUCCUGUUGCAUGAGUGGAAUUCUGCUUACACAGCAUUUGAUAAAACACACCAGGGCCAGCCCAAGGCAUUUUUGUACCUAAGAUAGAUCUCAAAAUGGCACUUCCCACUCCCUGCCAGGGAAGGAGUGAGGAAAGACCUACGUACAUCAGGAACAAGAGGGAAGAAACACUGACAUUGGGAUUUGCUGCCCCAGUGAAACCUGCCAUCUGAGGCAGUUGCCUCACCUUGCCUCAAGGGUGGGCCAGCCCUGCAAUCCACAGUUUCACUAUGUAACAAUCUUGGUAAAUUGUUUAGUUUUGUUUACAUGUUAUAGUAACUGCUGCGGACUCUCAUUCCCAUUCUUCAUGCCAAAACAACAAUCAUCCCAGAGAACUGAAAUAGCAUCACUGCAAAUGCACUGCAUGACUAACAAAGAAGAGUAGUGAACGCUCACAAGUGGCAUUGUUUGUUAAUUUGUAAUGUGGCACUCACAUAUAAUGGAAUCUGACCUCUAAGGGUAAGAGGAAUUGCCCAUAUGCUAUUCCCAGAACCAGAAACAAAAGAUCUACACAUAAACUGAGACUGCAGCUAAAUGGCUGCUACAAAAAGAACAGCUUGUGCUUUAUUUCUUUGUUUAUUCGAGGAAUCAUUUCCCCCAAAACUCAAUUACAGUGGACCAACAAAAUUAUCACAAUUGCUUGCUCUCUUAUGCAAAAUACCCAACUUGCCCCUGCAGGCCAAAACAGGAAAGACUAGAUAGAUGAUAGAUAGAUAGACAGAGAUAGAUAGAUAGAUCGAUAGAUAGAUAGAUAGAUGUGACAUGAAACUCCCUUGUCAUACGACACAAACUUGGGUAAAGGGUAAAGAUAAACAAUCUGUAUGUCACCAAGAGAGAACUGAAAUCUAUCCUGUUUGAAGUGUUUUUAUUAUGGACUUAGCUCUGUUUGUGUGUGAUCUGCACAAAAACAGUUUAUAUGGGAUGAUCCUACUACAUAUGCAAGAGUACAAUAAUCUUACAAAAGCCCAGUGCCUGUCCCUCUCUCUGCCAAGCUGUGGCAAGAGUGCAUGGGAUCUCAGGCGCCCACACAGGGUCUGUGUCCCUUUUGAGAAUAGAAGACACGGCGGAGGCUGUCAUGCUUUAAGAAAUAGGGUUUAUUCGCCUAUUCACACAUUCCAUCUGCACGAAAGGGUCCAGAUCUUACAGUAUGGUCCACAGCAGUGCAGGAAGUCUUUCCUUCACCCUCACCAAAAUGGAUCUACUCUUUUCUUCCUGUUUCUUCUUCCCAGAAGCCCCUUGCCCUCCCCCAGAACAGUUAUCCAGGCAACCUUCCAAAUCUCCAGUCUCUGGUCACACCUGGGACAAGGAGUUGUUGAAGAACCUCAGUGGCUCUCUACUGUAAUGCUAGCAAGCUCUGCCCUUCCCUCAGCCAGCCAGAACUGUUUGUGUAAGGCAGCCCAGGAAUCCCAUUGCAGCUUAUAUUCUCCCUUCAUAUCACAAAGAACCCAAAAUCCUAGCAUUUAUUAAUUUCUAGGGUUUACCUCAAAUCUCUAACAAUACCUUCCACUGCCAGAUGAUCAACUUGUGUGUGAGAGAACAGCUUCCCUCAUGUGCUUGUACAGUAGCUCACUGUUGUCUGCCUAUGCAUGUCUGGGUCCAGUUUAAGGUGCUUGUGGUUGUUUUUAAAGCUCUAAAUGGCUUGUGACACAAAUACCUAAAGGAGCACCCUUUCCCAUGCCAGCAUGCUUGUUGUCUUAAGAACUUCUGAAGAGCUACAGCUCCAAGUACUUCUUUGUUCAAGGCAUGCUAUGUUUUCACAAGAAAGGGCCCCAACUCUGGAAUGCCCUCCCUAAAGUGGUAUGUCUGAUGCUGAUAUUGCGUGAUGAGGCCCUGGGCCCUGCAGUCCCCUCAGAAAUAAACACACAGACACAAAUAUAUUGGGUUAAUUGGGAUAAAUUAGGCCACAACUUUAUUGGUUACAGAUGUGAGUGGUUUGGCUUAGGCAUUUGGAUGAAGCCAAACUAUAUCCUGACUCCUGCCCGUUUGCAGGAAGACUCUGAAGGGUCAACCACCAAUAGGGGGAGCCCUAUGAUAUACAUCAAUUAAGAGCACCCCCAGGGUCACUGAUGGGGUUGUGGCAUGGUCCUAGCCUACGCCUAGGCUUUGGACACAAUCCACACCCUCAGAUCCCUUUUACGGGAUUCCCUUAACGAGGAUAGGCAGGCGGAGGCAACAACUUCCCCUCCCAUAAACAAGACUUACCCAGUGCCUAACCUUACAAAGUUGUGACGAUUGCUACAAGGUAAGCGAAAACCAAAUGGCUGGUGCCAAUUUGCCAAGUGGAAAAAUUCCUACCUGGUCCCAACAACCAGGAGACCGACAUUAGUCCAUAGUAAGGCCAAAGUCAAGCAAUGCAUAAAAAGAGGGUGGGUAGGCUGGGAUAUCUGACAAGAAGGCAAAUGGAGGUCACCCCCCAGCCGUGCCGCAGUUUAAACAGCAUUGGCCACGCCCCCUGGCUAACCCAAUUGGUCAGCCAGGGGGUGUGACAUAGCUGGAAGUCCUAAUGACGUAGGCGGCAUCCCUCCACCCACUGCUGGGUCACUGGGAGGUCCCAGAUGCACGCCCGCAGUGCCACCCCCCCGGAAGGGGAGUGGUCUUACCAGCUUUUGGGAAUCUAGUGAAAAUCUUCCUAUUUCCCCAGUCCCUUUAGAAUUCAGAUGAUUUCUUGAAUUAAGCUCUCUUCUGUUUUUAGGGUGUGUGUUUUAGUUUCAUUUCAUUAAGUGGUUUUGUUGGUUUCAAAUUGUAUUUAUAUGAUGCAUGGAUUAAUUUUAUAAACACUUUUGUACAUGGCCAUGCAAGCUCCUGAUGAAGAGUGGUUAAGAACUAUUUUAAAUAAAUGAAUUAAUAAACAACCAAGAAUGUAUAAUGAACCACCUGAUUAUACAGCCUUCACAAUAUGUCUCUGAACCCUUAGAUAUACAUUAAAGCCACUAGAUAGAUUUCAGUUAAGCAUUGCAUUUAAUUAUUCAAAGUAUAUAGAGAAAAUGCCAAUGAAAAUGUCCUAAAGUAAUGGUAAACUGAUCUUGCAGUACUAUAGCUGAACUAACACUUCCCUAUGUAUUUAUGAUCCAUUCCACCCUUAUAGAAGGUUUUCAAAAGCCUUGUUCUUUUUUUCUAUUUCAAGCUAAAGUAAUAUUUCUUUGCAAGACCCAUUUCAGCUUUGAAAAUCAUUUUUGUGUGUGCUGGCUUGCACAUAAAUAAAUCAUGCACACAUCACAGGCAGUAGACGAUGGUUCUCUUCAACCCUAUUCUUCAUGACUUCAAUGCUACCUAUCUUGAAUAGCAAAACAUGCUAAUGCCCAACUGAAGAUGUCUAGCCAUUUCAAUACAAGCUGGCAAAUGGAUAUUCAGUGAGUUAUUGUCUAAACAGCUUCCUCUGAACAGUUAAGUCUCAUGUUGCCAAUUGCUCUCUGCAUAAUGAGCUUUACUGGGAUGACACUUCUUUCUUUGCAUAUUUCAUGCUCGCUAAAAAAUCUCUUUGAUCCAAUUCUAAUGUGAUCCUUCAGCUGCAGGGUUCUUUUUUGAGACUAGGUAAUGGUCACAUUAUAAACAUAUGGAUUAAAUUUUAGUGAGUUUAACAAGAAAAUUAGUCUUUGGAAAAUAAACAUGGAAUUGGAAUCUUAAAAAUAAGAAUUGUAUGCAAACUGUAUGAAAAAUUUUGGCCAGGAGAGACAUAUGAAGGCCAUCCUGAGUUCAGGAGGCCUCCCUAAUUCAAGAAAAAUAAUAAUCUCCAAAUGGAAGUAU
RNAcentral lists this long non-coding RNA (5439 nucleotides) under Podarcis lilfordi (Lilford's wall lizard). The record is from RNAcentral. Lineage: Eukaryota; Metazoa; Chordata; Lepidosauria; Squamata; Lacertidae.